UACGUAGGGGGCAAGCGUUGUCCGGAAUCAUUGGGCGUAAAGCGCGUGUAGGCGGCUGGGUAAGUCCGCUCUGAAAGCCCGGGGCUCAACCCCGGGAGGCGGGUGGAUACUGCUCAGCUCGAGUCCGGAAGAGGAGUGUGGAAUUCCUGGUGUAGCGGUGAAAUGCGUAGAUAUCGGGAGGAACACCUGUGGCGAAAGCGGCGCACUGGACCACAUCUGACGCUGAGGCGCGAAAGCUAGGGGAGCAAACAGG
RNAcentral lists this ribosomal RNA (253 nucleotides) under uncultured bacterium. Its description in RNAcentral is "partial 16S ribosomal RNA". It matches the Rfam family "Bacterial small subunit ribosomal RNA", at positions 524 to 776 of the family's 1533-position model. The record is from RNAcentral.